This is a long non-coding RNA of Heterocephalus glaber (naked mole-rat), 2968 nucleotides long. Lineage: Eukaryota; Metazoa; Chordata; Mammalia; Rodentia; Bathyergidae. The record is from Ensembl.
CGUCUCUGUGCUACUGUGUGGAACAGUUUGAUAAAACAUCCUGGUUUGGGAAAGAAAUUUUUAAAACUCUCUAGGCUAAGAGAUAACAAAUAAGCUUUCUUUUAUCUCUAUAGUUUUUUUUUUCCUGUAUCACUUCAUCGAUGGAAUAUUAGUCACCCUUGAUCUGUCUUAACCACUUCUUUGGACACUGCUUUUGUCAAUUUCCUAAAGUCUUUCCUCUUGAACGAAUUGGAUUCUCCAGAGGAAGAGCUUCGAAACUCUUGCCUGAAGGAUAGAGACAAGGCUGCUGACAUCCUGGAAGCAGAAUGAGAGCCACCAUGAGAUUACCAGAUCUCCUCCACCACAUGCUUCUGUGAUGUGCUGCCCUACCACAGACCCAGAGGAUCAUGGACUGAAAGCUCUGAAACCAUGAGUGAAAAGAAACCAUUCCUCCCUUAAGUUGAUUAUGUCAGGUAUUUUGUCAGAGCAAUGAAGAGCUAAUGCAGAGGAUGUCAAGGAAACUGCUCCUCCCUUCCUACACUCUCCUGUUUGUUACUGCCCAGCACCUGUGCUGUAACAUCCAAAGCAGGCUAUAGAACCCACAACUGUCCAGAUCCCCUCACUGGAGCCACAAAAGUCUGAAUGAAUCUGAGUCACAAAGAACCACAUCCAUUUGAUAUGCAGGUUCAGAAGUGUAAAAUAAAGUGUGCAGUGUCUGUUUGCUAGCCCCUUUCUGAUUUCUGACUUUUUGUUCAAAGAUCAAUCAUAAGAUCCAUGAGAGUCCAUGAAUAAGUGGCUGGCCACUCUGUUAGGCAUGUUGGAGAUCAAGCGUAUUGUGUCUGCCCUCAAGAAUCCAUAACCAGUCAGAGCACUCUGGCAACCACAUCUGAAAAGAGAAGGAAAGACCCCAGGCUGUGUGCAAUUAAGAGCCACUGGAAAGGUGUUCUGAGAUGUACCAUAGUUGUCCUCAGUGAUCUCCCUAAUGCUUCCACUAAGUUGUGAAUUCUUUAAAGGUUUUUGUUUUUUUUAUUUUUGGACUUCAGUGCAUAGCAGUGAGAGGGGCAUGUGCCAACUGCUCAUAAGCAUCUUUUGAAUGAAUGAAUGAGUGAGGGGACAAAUGAACAAGUGAAGGAAUGAAUAUGUUCCAAGGAAGGAAUACUGCAGAGAGCAGAGAGCUGGAGUGGUGAGGUAGUGCAUCCAGGAGGAAACAGGACUACAGCCAAACAGGGAGUUGUCAUCCAGUGACUCUGUAGACCUGAAAGAAUCUUCCAAAGGUCAAGAUGGUCUCUAGAAAGGGACUAACCUGGGACUGAGCAUGGAAGUCAGGAAGUCGGGCUUGUGAUAAACUUUGGUGAGACGGAUGGAGAUGAAUGGAUGUCAUGGGAACACCCAGCUAAGCCAUUCCAGGAGAGACUAAGCAGAGCAGUGAUGACCGUGAUUGUUAAUGUGAAACAGAAAACAGGAGAAAAAACAAGACUCUAUGUUAAAGAUGGAGCGGGAAUCAUGGCUUCUGACUAAAGGAGAACAACAAGUAGGAUGACAACGGCAACAACAACAACAACACAAGAUUUAAGUGAGCUAUCAAAGAGAAAGAGACCGCCAGCAAAAGGCUGCCACACAAAGGAAAAGGAAAUCCACAGUGCUGGGAGACACCGAAGGGACCAGGGGAUGUGCACACCAGUGUUUGUAUCUUCUCUCUGUGUGUACACAGUCCAUGAGAGUAAAUUAUUGUCAUGGGUAAGGGUUUAACAUUCUUGACCUAUACUAUGGCUUAAAAAAAAAAAGUAUGCAACAUGACUGGAAUGCCAAUUUGAAGUGGAGAAGCAUUUAGGGAGAAUGAAUAGACUGUGCUUCAGAAGUAUUUUCAUGGAAGGGAAUGAGCCUCUUUAAUUUGUUCUCUGCAGAGGCUUUGAGAGAGCUAACAUUGUAACCUGCUAAGUCAGGCACCAUGUGCAUAAUAAUGCAGAGAUGAUGGCUUAAGAGUUACUGUGCUACUAGGUUUUGGUGUUAAGGCAGCAGUAAUUGUUGCAAAAGUCACUGAUAAUUUUGGUUAGCAAGUGAUACAAAUGGAACUGGUCGGGUAUGCUGUUCUUUGGGACCCUCCCUCACCCACAGCCUCUGAACUCUGCAAAUCCUGAUGCAGUGUCCUUUAGUCCCCUUUCAUUACCUACAUAGCUGGUGCAUGCAGUUGGGAAGUGUGGUGGCGGGGCCCAUUCCAAAGGAGUCCACUGCCUCACAGUCCCUGGUGCUGGAGGAGCAAAGCCAUUGCUUUCAUUCAGCUGGAAGAGAAUGAAACCCACAUUCUAUGCUGUUGUCUCACUGCAAGCCAGGCCUUCAAUUGGAAUGUUGGUGUCAAUAUUUAAAGAGGUGUGCCAUGACAGCUUAGAAGUGAGGCGUCCUGAGGGCAGAGGUGACUUCACCUCCGGGUUAAUCCUGCUUUGGAAUUGUUUUCUGUGCUUUUACUGCCCCUGGUUCCUAGGAAACAUGGUUGCUGUUUGUGGAGUGGCAAAUAGGGCUACGCUUAGAUUCUGGACUGGCAGUUAACAUUUUGCAUUAAUCCCAUGCUUUAUCCAUCAAUCCCCCUUUUUCCCUCCACCUUCUUGCCCUCUGAUGAACAUUAACAAUGUUGGCACCUAACCACACUUCUCAUUCGGCUUCCGCUGACUUCUGUCCUGUGAGGUGCACAGAAAUAAAAAUGUCAGUUUGUCAGUCCCUUUUAUGCUUACAAAGUGUUCCUAGUGUGAAGACCCAACCAUGAGCCGAUCAUCUUCACCCUCGAGCAAAUCCAUGUAACAAACAUUUAUUGAGCCAUGUGAUGCAACAUGGAAGCAAUUCAAGGUAACAAACAUUUAUUGACCCUCUGAUUGUAAUUGAUCCAAGGUCCUGAGUCAUUAACAAAAUUGUUUUUGUGACUUUCAUGAGGAUGUCAAGGUGAUUCUUGCAGUUAGCAUGUGGGCAUGUGAUUAUAUCUGUCCAUGGUGGGGAGGAG